Molecule: transfer RNA, 73 nt
Filed under: Candidatus Dadabacteria bacterium
Lineage: Bacteria; Pseudomonadati; Thermodesulfobacteriota; Candidatus Dadabacteria
Description: tRNA-Arg
Rfam family: tRNA
About the family: Transfer RNA (tRNA) molecules are approximately 80 nucleotides in length. Their secondary structure includes four short double-helical elements and three loops (D, anti-codon, and T loops).
Source: RNAcentral
GGGCGAUUAGCUCAGUGGAUAGAGCGCAGGCCUCCGAAGCCUGAGGCCGGGGGUUCGAGUCCCCCAUCGCCCG